RNAcentral lists this transfer RNA (116 nucleotides) under Daphnia magna. It matches the Rfam family "tRNA". From Rfam's summary of the family: Transfer RNA (tRNA) molecules are approximately 80 nucleotides in length. Their secondary structure includes four short double-helical elements and three loops (D, anti-codon, and T loops). Further hydrogen bonds mediate the characteristic L-shaped molecular structure. tRNAs have two regions of fundamental functional importance: the anti-codon, which is responsible for specific mRNA codon recognition, and the 3' end, to which the tRNAs corresponding amino acid is attached (by aminoacyl-tRNA synthetases). tRNAs cope with the degeneracy of the genetic code in two manners: having more than one tRNA (with a specific anti-codon) for a particular amino acid; and 'wobble' base-pairing, i.e. permitting non-standard base-pairing at the 3rd anti-codon position. Lineage: Eukaryota; Metazoa; Arthropoda; Branchiopoda; Diplostraca; Daphniidae. The record is from Rfam by way of RNAcentral.
CCGUCAAUAGCUCAGUUGGUAGAGCGGUGGACUGUAGUAAUGAUUCAAGACGUGCGUGAAAGUCGUGAAUUUCGUGAGUCAUCCAUAGGUCGCUGGUUCAACUCCGGCUCGACGGA